AGUGAACGCUGGCGGUAGGCCUAACACAUGCAAGUCGAACGGCAGCACAGUAAGAGCUUGCUCUUACGGGUGGCGAGUGGCGGACGGGUGAGGAAUACAUCGGAAUCUACUUUUACGUGGGGGAUAACGUAGGGAAACUUACGCUAAUACAGCAUAUGACCUACGGGUGACAGCAGGGGAUCUUCGGACCUUGCGCGAUUGAAUGAGCCGAUGUCGGAUUAGCUAGUUGGCGGGGUAAAGGCCCACCAAGGCGACGAUCCGUAGCUGGUCUGAGAGGAUGAUCAGCCACACGGUAACUGAGACACGUCCGAGACUCCUACGGGAGGAAGCAGUGGGGAAUAUUGGACAAUGGGCGCAAGCCUGAUCCAGCCAUACCGCGUGAGUGAAGAAGGCCUUCUGGUUGUAAAGCCCUUUUGUUGGGAAAGAAAAGAAGCAGUUUUAUCCCCCGCUGUUCUGACGGUACCCAAGGAAUAAGCACCGGCUAACUUCGUG
Molecule: ribosomal RNA, 492 nt
Filed under: uncultured bacterium
Lineage: Bacteria
Description: partial 16S ribosomal RNA
Rfam family: Bacterial small subunit ribosomal RNA
Source: RNAcentral